This 474-nucleotide ribosomal RNA is filed under the name uncultured bacterium. RNAcentral describes it as "bacterial SSU rRNA". It matches the Rfam family "Bacterial small subunit ribosomal RNA", at positions 28 to 507 of the family's 1533-position model. The record is from RNAcentral.
GACGAACGCUGGCGGCGUGCCUAACACAUGCAAGUCGAGCGGGUUGAAGCGAGGGGUAACUCGAGUUUCUACCUAGCGGCGGACGGGUGAGUAACGCGUGGGCAACCUGCCUCAAGGACUGGGAUAACAGCUCGAAAGGGCUGCUAAUACCGGAUAAGCCUAUGGCCUCGCAUGGGGCCAUGAGCAAAGGGGAAACCCGCCUUGAGAUGGGCCCGCGUCCCAUCAGCUAGUUGGUGAGGUGAAGGCUCACCAAGGCGACGACGGGUAGCCGGCCUGAGAGGGUGACCGGCCACACUGGGACUGAGACACGGCCCAGACUCCUACGGGGGGCAGCAGUGGGGAAUCUUGCACAAUGGGCGAAAGCCUGAUGCAGCGACGCCGCGUGAGCGAAGAAGGCCUUCGGGUUGUAAAGCUCUGUCUGGAGGGACGAAGGAAGUGACGGUACCUCCGGAGGAAGCCACGGCUAACUACGUG